This 449-nucleotide ribosomal RNA is filed under the name uncultured bacterium. RNAcentral's name for it is "bacterial SSU rRNA". It matches the Rfam family "Bacterial small subunit ribosomal RNA", at positions 29 to 524 of the family's 1533-position model. The record is from RNAcentral.
AACGAACGCUGGCGGCAUGCCUCAUACAUGCAAGUCGAACGAAGCCUUCGGGCUUAGUGGCGAACGGGUGCGUAACGCGUGGGAACCUGCCCUUAGGUUCGGAAUAACAGUUAGAAAUGACUGCUAAUGCCGGAUAAUGUCUUCGGACCAAAGAUUUAUCGCCUUUGGAUGGGCCCGCGUAGGAUUAGGUAGUUGGUGUGGUAAUGGCGCACCAAGCCGACGAUCCUUAGCUGGUCUGAGAGGAUGAUCAGCCACACUGGGACUGAGACACGGCCCAGACUCCUACGGGAGGCAGCAGUAGGAAUAUUGGACAAUGGGCGAAAGCCUGAUCCAGCAAUGCCGCGUGAGUGAUGAAGGCCUUAGGGUUGUAAAGCUCUUUUACCAGGGAUGAUAAUGACAGUACCUGGAGAAUAAGCUCCGGCUAACUCCGUGCCAGCCGCCGCGGUAAU